GACGUAGGGCGCGAGCGUUUGUCCGGAUUUAUUGGGCGUAAAGAGCUCGUAGGCGGCUUGUUGCGUCGACUGUGAAAACCCGCGGCUUAACUGCGGGCUUGCAGUUGAUACGGGCAGGCUAGAGUUCGGUAGGGGAGACUGGAAUUCCUGGUGUAGCGGUGAAAUGCGCAGAUAUCAGGAGGAACACCAAUGGCGAAGGCAGCUCGCUGGGACGGUACUGACGCUGAGACGCGAAAGCGUGGGGAGCAAACAGG
This 254-nucleotide ribosomal RNA is filed under the name uncultured bacterium. RNAcentral's name for it is "partial 16S ribosomal RNA". It matches the Rfam family "Bacterial small subunit ribosomal RNA", at positions 524 to 776 of the family's 1533-position model. The record is from RNAcentral.